Molecule: long non-coding RNA, 2220 nt
Organism: Tyto alba (common barn owl)
Lineage: Eukaryota; Metazoa; Chordata; Aves; Strigiformes; Tytonidae
Exons: 5
Source: RefSeq, a predicted model, not a curated record
GGGCAGCAUGGCGGGCGGCGGAGGCGGUUGGGCUGCCAUCUCCCCUCAGCGCGGGGAGAUGGGGGUGAGGGCACGCACCGGGCUUUUGGCUGGAUAUGGCGGGCCGUGAGGCCGCCCCGCGCGCCUCAGCCCGUUCAGAAAGAGCGCAGCGCGGCGGUAGCGUGGGGGUCAGUGGCCCCUCAGUACCGAGCCGAGGCCAGUAGGAAAAAGUUUAAGGUGUAGUGACCUACAUGUAAGUCACGUAGGUGGUCUGGGUACAAAUGCUGUUGGAAGGCCAUACACACAAAAAAAUGUUCAUUCCUAUAGUCUUGAAGGGAAGCUGACAAAAGCUUGAAGACCACGAGAAGGCAUGUUCUAUUUUAUGUUUAGUGCACUUGACUGCUUUCGCUGCCAGUCACAACUUCUGAACAGCACAACUUCACACCGGCUUGCAAAUCUAGUGUGUUGGAGAUGUUCCAGCUUCCUCUAUUGAAAACUGAAAUAAUUCCACAGUGCACACAGCGUGUUUGUCACUUCUUCAAGCUGUCCUCUGCUGCACAAGAGCCGAUUAUUCACAAAGGUGCCGGCUUGGAGGGAGAGUGGUGUUUGAUUUAUUGCUUAUCAUCACCGGUCAUAUUCUGUCUUCUGUAUCACUUGUUCAACUGUGGUGUCUUGAGAAUUACUUUGCAAAGCUGAUGGUGCACAAGGGACGAGACUCCUGGGUGAAGACGAAGACUUGCUGAAAUCUGUGAGCUCUUCCCAAGCACAGAUUGCACCCUGAAUGCAUGUGGGCAGAAGCUAGAUGAAUAAGGAGGAGCCAAGUGACCUCUGAAAGAAAAGCAAUAGCAAUUUUUCAUCUGGGUACAGCGUCAUCAUGCAGGAGUGAAAGAAUUUGGCAAAGGUUAUUAAUUAUCACAUAAAUGAUCUAGUCUUCCUUGGCUGGGUGGGUGACCAGGGAUGGAGGAGUAUGGACCACUCACAGUAUGCCUUGGCUUGGGAGCCCUGGUUGAAACACAGUCAUGCUCUGCCAAGUCUGACAGCCUCGUGCUCAUGCAGUGUUUCUCAAUCUGCGAGCCGUGGCUGAUGGGCAAAGCGGCAUGGAGAGCAUCCCGUCCCACUCUGCGAAACACGAUGUGACAAGGCACGGGGCACGCGGGUUUAGUUGGAAGUGUGGUGGGGGAUUGCAGGUGGAGAGGUGAUGCACACUCAGCGACUGGAGAGCAGAUCACCUUGCGCUAACCAGAGCUGCCUCCGGGCACCCUGGCACUGUAGGCAGUAUUAAAAUCUGCUGCAUUAAAGAAAAAGGGGUUAACCCAGGCUGGACUUCUCCUACAAAGGACCUGGAUGAGAAGCAGGAAGAAUGAGGGGAGGGAAGGAAUGACUCUGGGGGAAACCCUGAAAAUUAUGUGCUUCCCUUUCCUGCUAGAGAUACAGGAGGGUGUGAGGCAGUGUUUGCCACUGAGGAGAGCCACCUUUCAAGUACUGUUUGUCAUCUCACACACCCUGAUGGGCCUUGGCAGCAGCACACCCUUAUCUCCAGCAUGUUGGUAAAUUUGAGUGCGCGGCAGUUUCCUAAUUCACCAAGCCAGGGCCUGGGCUGCUCUUUAUGUUCUCUGCACUUUCCUUCUCCCCAUUCUAAUGGGCAGAUUAAUUUUUUAAUAAGUUUGGAUACAAUUUAACUGUAGACGGAAAAUUUUCAUGCAUUGCUUAAGCCUUUAGCAGUUUAAAGGGGAGGAAUAUUGUCUCCAUCAAGAUCCACAGCAAGUGAAAUGCCUGCUGUCUCUUAACACUAUUAUAAUGAUGGUGCUUCAAUAAUGUUCCCCAUGGGCUGGAUCCGUGGAGGAUGCCACAGCGAUUUUCCUUUCACUGGAGUUAGUUCGGGCUUGUUUCACACCCACCUUUGCUUUAUUUACACCUGCCUGUUGUUUUGUUAUUUACGUAUCUUGGGUUAUAUAACGCAGCAGCCGCCUCUUUACGUGUAUCUGGAAGCAUUAUAUGAAUUUGCACGCCUUGUGCAGAGCUACCUGCUAGGAGCUUCCAAAGGGACAAGCCAUUUUGCUCUUACAAGCAGCACAGAAAACCAGGCUGCAGAAGAUGAGGAAUUGGGUCUUUUUGAACAUGGUGGGUCUUUGAAAGUGUUGAGGUCUUAAAGUUGUGCAGGGGGAAACACCUGAAAGUCGUCUCACUGACUUUGUAUCAUGCUCACCUGCAAUUAAAAUAAUUUUAGCGGGUUUUGUGUGA